Molecule: ribosomal RNA, 197 nt
Filed under: uncultured Erwinia sp.
Lineage: Bacteria; Pseudomonadati; Pseudomonadota; Gammaproteobacteria; Enterobacterales; Erwiniaceae
Description: partial 16S ribosomal RNA
Rfam family: Bacterial small subunit ribosomal RNA
Source: RNAcentral
ACUCCUACGGGAGGCAGCAGUGGGGAAUAUUGCACAAUGGGCGCAAGCCUGAUGCAGCCAUGCCGCGUGUAUGAAGAAGGCCUUCGGGUUGUAAAGUACUUUCAGCGGGGAGGAAGGCGAUGCGGUUAAUAACCGCGUCGAUUGACGUUACCCGCAGAAGAAGCACUGGCUAACUCCGUGCCAGCAGCCGCGGUAAU